GAUGAACGCUGGCGGCGUGCUUAACACAUGCAAGUCGAACGAUGCAGCUGGAGCUUGCUCUGGUGGAUUAGUUGCGAACGGGUGAGUAACACGUGAGCAACCUGCCCCUGACUCUGGGAUAACAGCAGGAAACGGCUGCUAAUACCGGAUAUGCACCAUGAACGCAUGUUCUGUGGUGGGAAAGAUUGUUCGGUUGGGGAUGGGCUCGCGGCCUAUCAGCUUGUUGGUGAGGUAAUGGCUCACCAAGGCGUCGACGGGUGGCCGGCCUGAGGGGGUAACCGGCCACGCCGGGACUGGGAUGAGGCCCAGACUCGUACGGGAGGCAACAGAGCGGAAUGGUGUACUAUGGGCGAAAGCCUGAUGCAGCAACGCCGCGUGGGGGAUGACGGGCUGCGGGUAGUAUUGCUCAUUUAGCAGGGAAGAAGUGAGAGUGACGGUACCGUCAGAAAAAGCGCCGGCUAACUACGUG
This 469-nucleotide ribosomal RNA is filed under the name uncultured bacterium. RNAcentral's name for it is "partial 16S ribosomal RNA". It matches the Rfam family "Bacterial small subunit ribosomal RNA", at positions 28 to 507 of the family's 1533-position model. The record is from RNAcentral.